RNAcentral lists this transfer RNA (67 nucleotides) under Calidris pygmaea (Spoon-billed sandpiper). Its description in RNAcentral is "tRNA-Cys". Lineage: Eukaryota; Metazoa; Chordata; Aves; Charadriiformes; Scolopacidae. The record is from RNAcentral. RNAcentral also lists the same sequence under 1 other name.
GGUCCUGUGGUGAAAUUCAUGUUGAGUUGCAAGCUCAUCGAUGUGCAUUAAAAGUGUACCAGGGCCU